This 462-nucleotide ribosomal RNA is filed under the name uncultured bacterium. RNAcentral's name for it is "partial 16S ribosomal RNA". It matches the Rfam family "Bacterial small subunit ribosomal RNA", at positions 28 to 507 of the family's 1533-position model. The record is from RNAcentral.
GAUGAACGCUGGCGGCGUGCCUAACACAUGCAAGUCGAGCGGUAAGGCCGUUCGGGGUACACGAGCGGCGAACGGGGGGGCAACACGUGGGGGAUUUGCCCGGCACCUCGGGUUAAGCCGGGGAAACCGGGGCUAAUACUGGACUAGACCCCCAUUCGCAUUGCGGGUGGGGGAAAGAUUUAUCGGUGCCUGCUGGGCCCGCGGCCGAUCAUCUUGUUGGUGGGGUAAUGGCCUGCCAAGGCGACGACGGGUAGCCGACCGGAGAGGGUGGACGGCGACACUGGGCCUGAGGGAGGCACCAGUGUGCAACGGGAGGCAACAGGGGGGAACAUUGCCCAAUGGGCGCGCGCCUGAUGCAGAGGCGCCGCGUGAGGAAUGCCGGCCUUCUGGUUAAAAACAUCUUUCAGCUGAGACGCCGCGCAAGUGACGGUACCUGAAGAAGAAGCACCGGCUAACUACGUG